GAUGCAUAUGAUGAGAAGCAAGACAGGGACAUCAGCACCCCCUUUCUGUGAAGGUGGGGAGUGAUCGACUAAAGUCUCAAUGGGAAUCUCUCUGAUGCAUA
Oryza sativa Japonica Group (Japanese rice) is the source of this 101-nucleotide small nucleolar RNA. It matches the Rfam family "Small nucleolar RNA R44/J54/Z268 family". Rfam says of the family: R44, J54 and Z268 are members of the C/D class of snoRNA which contain the C (UGAUGA) and D (CUGA) box motifs. Most of the members of the box C/D family function in directing site-specific 2'-O-methylation of substrate RNAs. The record is from Rfam. Lineage: Eukaryota; Viridiplantae; Streptophyta; Magnoliopsida; Poales; Poaceae.